GGAGGUGGGACCGUUAGAGGAAUUGGGCAAGUUACAAAAACAAAGCCACUGGGUAAUGAGGCGAGCCCAUGUGUGAAGCCUGCCACCCCCUGGUUUCUAUUGGUCCCGUAUGCAGAGGAUGUUGGUCUGGAUCUGGCCACGUGCUCGGAAGCGUUCACAUGCCAUCCAGACACGUCCUGUGCUACAGUGCAACAUGGAAGAAACAACCUUUGACACUGGCCUUGAAGUUGCCGUGACUGAUCUCACAGGCAGGCUGGGGGAUGUCAUGUAGCUGCCUUUGAUUGAUCUCUUCACUUCCUGCUACAAAGAUGGAGGCCGCUCCCGUAACCACACAGCCCCUUUCAAGCUUGGGGUGUAGGAGACGCCCUUCAGCAACGUUCCAGAAUCAAAUCGGGUUCACCCUUCCCCCCAAACCUAAC
This is a long non-coding RNA of Dicentrarchus labrax (European seabass), 419 nucleotides long. RefSeq lists it as uncharacterized. The record is from RefSeq and is a predicted model, not a curated record. NCBI's taxonomy places the organism in Eukaryota, Metazoa, Chordata, Actinopteri, Moronidae. The transcript is spliced from 4 exons.